UACGUAGGAGACGAGCGUUGUCCGGAGUUACUGGGCGUAAAGGGUGCGCAGGUGGCGGCGCGCGUGGGGGGUGAAAUCGUCCGGCUUAACUGGGCGGGGGCCUUCCAGACGGCGUGGCUUAAGCAGCGGAGGGGGACGUGGAAUUCCGGGUGGAGCGGUGAAAUGCGUAGAGAUCCGGAGGAACACCGACGGCGCGGGCAGCGUCCUGGCCGCUUGCUGACACUGAGGCACGAAAGCUGGGGGAGCAAACAGG
This 253-nucleotide ribosomal RNA is filed under the name uncultured bacterium. RNAcentral describes it as "partial 16S ribosomal RNA". It matches the Rfam family "Bacterial small subunit ribosomal RNA", at positions 524 to 776 of the family's 1533-position model. The record is from RNAcentral.